AUUGAACGCUGGCGGCAUGCCGUACACAUGCAAGUCGAACGGUAACGGGCCUUCGGGUGCCGACGAGUGGCGAACGGGCGAGUAAUACAUCGGAACGUGCCCGAUCGUGGGGGAUAACGAGGCGAAAGCUUUGCUAAUACCGCAUACGAUCUACGGAUGAAAGCAGGGGACCGCAAGGCCUUGCGCGGACGGAGCGGCCGAUGGCAGAUUAGGUAGUGGGUGGGAUAAAAGCUUACCAAGCCGACGAUCUGUAGCUGGUCUGAGAGGAUGAUCAGCCACACUGGGACUGAGACACGGCCCAGAGUCCUACGGGAGGCAGCAGUGGGGAAUUUUGGACAAUGGGCGCAAGCCUGAUCCAGCCAUGCCGCGUGCAGGAUGAAGGCCUUCGGGUUGUAAACUGCUUUUGUACGGAACGAAAAGCCUUCUUUUAAUACAGGAGGGUCAUGACGGUACCGUAAGAAUAAGCACCGGCUAACUACGUG
Molecule: ribosomal RNA, 482 nt
Filed under: uncultured bacterium
Lineage: Bacteria
Description: partial 16S ribosomal RNA
Rfam family: Bacterial small subunit ribosomal RNA
Source: RNAcentral